Marek's disease herpesvirus type 1 strain MD5 is the source of this 67-nucleotide microRNA precursor. It matches the Rfam family "mir-M7 microRNA precursor family". The record is from Rfam. NCBI's taxonomy places the organism in Duplodnaviria, Heunggongvirae, Peploviricota, Herviviricetes, Herpesvirales, Orthoherpesviridae.
UGGCGUUGUCUCGUAGAGGUCCAGAUCUCUCCUGUUGGCAACUCGAAAUCUCUACGAGAUAACAGUU